CGAAAAACUCAGUACGCAUCACAGAUUUGUUAAUGUUCUGUAACACAUUUACAUUUUACAUUUAUUAAUUUAGCAGACUCCAAAGCGAUGUACAUCUGGAAAAAAAAUACAAUCUGUGCAUAAGAGAGAGAGAGAGAGAGAGAGAGAGAGAGAGAGAGAGAUGGCUGCAGACAUGUGACCUUAUUUAAACCUAGCUGAAACACACUGUGUUUCACCAGUGAAGCCCUACAACUACUCGCGACUCCCCCGUGGGACAAGUGCGCCAAAGCUCUCUCCCGGAAGCGUGUGACGCAAUUGGAAUGAAAAGCGCGCGUGGCGGAUGGGUGGCGUUCAGUUCUUUUCCUGCGAUACUGGUGGAUACUUCGGGAAAGUACAUAUAGUCAUUUCUAGAGCUUCCAGCUGUUGACCAACAAUGUCUGGUAAUCUACCUUUAGAGACAAACACACAUCCUGCUGCAACAUCUGAGGGGUCCAUUAGUGUUACUAAUGGUUCUGUGGUCACUGGAUCCCGGUUGACUAGCUGUAUAGUUGGAGGCUCCGUCACCAACCGUGUCAGAGCUCUGUUAUCUGCUAGUGGAAAUCAGACUUCCCUGAACUCUACCACCAGCAGUCCUUCUAGAAGUGUCAUUACUGGAUCCAGUUUGAUGGACUGUGAAGUUGGGGGCUCUGUCACAAACAGUGUCAUGGGUAGAUUUUUGAGUGUUAUUCAAUACUUAAACACACUGUUCAUUCUGAAAGUAUUUAUUCCCUUCAAAUGUUCACAUUCGUAAGUCUGGAAGUGUUGUUCCUCUUCACUGAACUCAAAUUUAAUACUGUUAUUGGGCGUUUUUAGAAUUACAGCAGCAUUUUUCAGUAAAUUAAAUGUACACAUUUACUUUUUGCUAAAUUAUCACCCUGACAGUUCAGGAGUUCAUUGUUGUACAACAGACAUCAGUCAUAGCUUGGAAUAUUUGUGGGUUUAACUUCAUGAGCUUUACACAUUACCUUUAGGAGUUUUUAGACAGUUGUCUUUACAGUUUGCUGUACCAUUAUCAAGUUACAUGGAGAGGAUAAGUAUCCAGUUUUAAUUGGAUUAAUGUGUGAGCUGCUCCAUGAAACUGUUGUCGUUAACAUUUACCGUUAUUAAUUUUGCAGAUGCUUUUCUCCAGAGCGACAGACAUCUCUGGUAUUGAGAUAUAUCAGAUGUCGUGCUGUGGUUAAGGACAUUGAUUUAUAAGCUAAAGGCUGCCAGUUCAAACCAUCACCCGUUACUGUUGUUGUACGCUGGAUCUCGGUACUCAUAGCUACUCAAUAAACAUGGAUCUGUAUGUUGUCUGUUUAAUAAU
RNAcentral lists this long non-coding RNA (1324 nucleotides) under Scleropages formosus (Asian bonytongue). RNAcentral describes it as "lncRNA (ENSSFOG00015026287.1)". Lineage: Eukaryota; Metazoa; Chordata; Actinopteri; Osteoglossiformes; Osteoglossidae. The record is from RNAcentral.